This 103-nucleotide transfer RNA is filed under the name Rhizoctonia solani 123E. It matches the Rfam family "tRNA". Rfam says of the family: Transfer RNA (tRNA) molecules are approximately 80 nucleotides in length. The record is from Rfam by way of RNAcentral. Lineage: Eukaryota; Fungi; Basidiomycota; Agaricomycetes; Cantharellales; Ceratobasidiaceae.
GGCCGCUUGGUCUAGUAGUAUGAUUCCUGUUUUGGGAUUUUUACGUAGUAGCUUACGUAAGCGAAAAUACAGGAGGUCGUGGGUUCAAUUCCCACAGCGGCCC